RNAcentral lists this ribosomal RNA (1406 nucleotides) under uncultured bacterium. RNAcentral's name for it is "16S ribosomal RNA". It matches the Rfam family "Bacterial small subunit ribosomal RNA". The record is from RNAcentral.
AGAGUUUGAUCCUGGCUCAGGAUGAACGCUAGCGACAGGCCUAACACAUGCAAGUCGAGGGGCAUCGGGGCGAGGAGCAAUCCUUGCCGCCGGCGACCGGCGCACGGGUGAGUAACGCGUAUGCGACCUGCCCGUUGCAGGGGGAUAAUCGGGAGAAAUCCCGUCUAAUACCGCGUAAUGCCGCGGGGCUGCAUGGCCCUGGGGCCAAAGGAAGCGAUUCCGGCAACGGAUGGGCAUGCGUGACAUUAGCUAGUUGGCGGGGCAACGGCCCACCAAGGCGACGAUGUCUAGGGGUUCUGAGAGGAAGGUCCCCCACGCUGGUACUGAGACACGGACCAGACUCCUACGGGAGGCAGCAGUGAGGAAUAUUGGUCAAUGGGCGCGAGCCUGAACCAGCCAAGUCGCGUGAGGGAUGACGGCCCUACGGGUUGUAAACCUCUUUUGUCGGGGAGCAAAUUCCGCCACGCGUGGCGGAGUCGAGAGUACCCGAAGAAAAAGCAUCGGCUAACUCCGUGCCAGCAGCCGCGGUAAUACGGAGGAUGCGAGCGUUAUCCGGAUUUAUUGGGUUUAAAGGGUGCGUAGGCGGACUGUCAAGUCAGCGGUAAAAUACGGGGGCUCAACCUCCGCCCGCCGUUGAAACUGACGGUCUUGAGUGGGCGAGAAGUAUGCGGAAUGCGUGGUGUAGCGGUGAAAUGCAUAGAUAUCACGCAGAACUCCGAUUGCGAAGGCAGCAUACCGGCGCCCAACUGACGCUGAAGCACGAAAGCGUGGGUAUCGAACAGGAUUAGAUACCCUGGUAGUCCACGCAGUAAACGAUGAAUACUAGCUGUCCGGGGCGAAUGGGCCCUGGGUGGCACAGCGAAAGCGUUAAGUAUUCCACCUGGGGAGUACGCCGGCAACGGUGAAACUCAAAGGAAUUGACGGGGGCCCGCACAAGCGGAGGAACAUGUGGUUUAAUUCGAUGAUACGCGAGGAACCUUACCCGGGCUCAAACGACACAGGAAUACUUUUGAAAGGAGGUAGCCAGCAAUGGUCUGUGUCGAGGUGCUGCAUGGUUGUCGUCAGCUCGUGCCGUGAGGUGUCGGCUUAAGUGCCAUAACGAGCGCAACCCCUACCGCCAGUUGCCAGCAGGUAAAGCUGGGGACUCUGUGGAGACUGCCGGUGCAAGCUGCGAGGAAGGCGGGGAUGACGUCAAAUCAGCACGGCCCUUACGUCCGGGGCGACACACGUGUUACAAUGGCAGGUACAGCGGGAUGCCACGGGGCGACCCGGCGCGGAACCCGAAAACCUGUCUCAGUUCGGAUUGGAGUCUGCAACCCGACUCCAUGAAGCUGGAUUCGCUAGUAAUCGCGCAUCAGCCACGGCGCGGUGAAUACGUUCCCGGGCCUUGUACACACCGCCCGUCA